RNAcentral lists this long non-coding RNA (267 nucleotides) under Malus domestica (apple). RNAcentral describes it as "long non-coding RNA (MDOM_LNC013423)". The record is from RNAcentral. Lineage: Eukaryota; Viridiplantae; Streptophyta; Magnoliopsida; Rosales; Rosaceae.
AUCUACACGACCCUCUCAUUCCAACAAUGAAGGUAGGGACAUGACUCGUGUACGGAUUACGCGAUCGUGUUCAAGAACUUGAUGAUUAACCAGGGCCAGGUGUGGUUGCCAUACUACUGGUAUUACCUGGCCUAAGUUUCCCUUUAGGAGUUGUGCUUCAGAGGCUAGUUGUGCCAGUUCGUCUGCUGAUGCGAAAUAUAAGCACACACAAAUUAAACCCUCUUUUUGACAAUUGUAGCAAAGUAUGUAAGUAGGGAUCGUUCUAAA